CCUACGUGUGGCAGCAGUGAGGAAUAUUGGUCAAUGGGCGCGAGCCUGAACCAGCCAAGUAGCGUGAAGGAUGACUGCCCUACGGGUUGUAAACUUCUUUUAUAAAGGAAUAAAGUGAGGCACGUGUGCCUUUUUGUAUGUACUUUAUGAAUAAGGAUCGGCUAACUCCGUGCCAGCAGCCGCGGUAAUACGGAGGAUCCGAGCGUUAUCCGGAUUUAUUGGGUUUAAAGGGAGCGUAGAUGGGUUGUUAAGUAAGUUGUGAAAGUUUGCGGCUCAACCGUAAAAUUGCAAGUGAUACUGGCAGUCUUGAGUACAGUUGAGGUAGGCGGAAUUCGUGGUGUAGCGGUGAAAUGCUUAGAUAUCACGAAGAACUCCGAUUGCGAAGGCAGCUUACUAAACUGCCACUGACAUUGAUGCUCGAAAGUGUGGGUAUCAAACAGGAUUAAAUACCCCUGUAGUC
Molecule: ribosomal RNA, 460 nt
Filed under: uncultured bacterium
Lineage: Bacteria
Description: partial 16S ribosomal RNA
Rfam family: Bacterial small subunit ribosomal RNA
Source: RNAcentral